This 427-nucleotide ribosomal RNA is filed under the name uncultured bacterium. RNAcentral's name for it is "partial 16S ribosomal RNA". It matches the Rfam family "Bacterial small subunit ribosomal RNA", at positions 355 to 774 of the family's 1533-position model. The record is from RNAcentral.
UGGGGAAUAUUGCACAAUGGGCGCAAGCCUGAUGCAGCCAUGCCGCGUGUAUGAAGAAGGCCUUCGGGUUGUAAAGUACUUUCAGCGGGGAGGAAGGUGUUGAGGUUAAUAACCUCAGCAAUUGACGUUACCCGCAGAAGAAGCACCGGCUAACUCCGUGCCAGCAGCCGCGGUAAUACGGAGGGUGCAAGCGUUAAUCGGAAUUACUGGGCGUAAAGCGCACGCAGGCGGUGUGUCAAGUCGGAUGUGAAAUCCCCGGGCUCAACCUGGGAACUGCAUCCGAAACUGGCAGGCUUGAGUCUUGUAGAGGGGGGUAGAAUUCCAGGUGUAGCGGUGAAAUGCGUAGAGAUCUGGAGGAAUACCGGUGGCGAAGGCGGCCCCCUGGACAAAGACUGACGCUCAGGUGCGAAAGCGUGGGGAGCAAACA